CAGGACCAAAAACUGUCUGGAGAAACAAAACACAAGGUGCAUUAACUGACCGGCCCAUACACAGGACCCAAAACUGUCUGGAGAAACAAAACACAAGGUGCAUUAACUGACCGGCCCAUACACAGGACCCAAAACUGUCUGGAGAAACAAAACACAAGGUGCAUUAACUGACCGGCCCAUACACAGGACCCAAAACUGUCUGGAGAAACAAAACACAAGGUGCAUUAACUGACCGGCCCAUACACAGGACCCAAAACUGUCUGGAGAAACAAAACACAAGGUGCAUUAACUGACCGGCCCAUACACAGGACCCAAAACUGUCUGGAGAAACAAAACACAAGGUGCAUUAACUGACCGGCCCAUACACAGGACCCAAAACUGUCUGGAGAAACAAAACACAAGGUGCAUUAACUGACCGGCCCAUACACAGGACCCAAAACUGUCUGGAGAAACAAAACACAAGGUGCAUUAACUGACCGGCCCAUACACAGGACCCAAAACUGUCUGGAGAAACAAAACACAAGGUGCAUUAACUGACCGGCCCAUACACAGGACCCAAAACUGUCUGGAGAAACAAAACACAAGGUGCAUUAACUGACCGGCCCAUACACAGGACCCAAAACUGUCUGGAGAAACAAAACACAAGGUGCAUUAACUGACCGGCCCAUACACAGGACCCAAAACUGUCUGGAGAAACAAAACACAAGGUGCAUUAACUGACCGGCCCAUACACAGGACCCAAAACUGUCUGGAGAAACAAAACACAAGGCGCAUUAACUGACCGGCCCAUACACAGGACCCAAAACUGUCUGGAGAAACAAAACACAAGGUGCAUUAACUGACCGGCCCAUACACAGGACCCAAAACUGUCUGGAGAAACAAAACACAAGGUGCAUUAACUGACCGGCCCAUACACAGGACCCAAAACUGUCUGGAGAAACAAAACACAAGGUGCAUUAACUGACCGGCCCAUACACAGGACCCAAAACUGUCUGGAGAAACAAAACACAAGGUGCAUUAACUGACCGGCCCAUACACAGGACCCAAAACUGUCUGGAGAAACAAAACACAAGGCGCAUUAACUGACCGGCCCAUACAC
Long non-coding RNA from Oncorhynchus keta (chum salmon), 1099 nucleotides. RefSeq lists it as uncharacterized. NCBI's taxonomy places the organism in Eukaryota, Metazoa, Chordata, Actinopteri, Salmoniformes, Salmonidae. The transcript has 4 exons. The record is from RefSeq and is a predicted model, not a curated record.